CACCCUUUGUGAGGCAGUCUCUACCUCACAGAGGGGUGAGGGCGUGGGCCCUCGGCACCCAAGCAAGAUGGCAGCUGUUGCAGGCAGUGCAGAGAUGUGCGUACUGCUGGUCAUGAUGCAGGGAGGAAGGCUUUCCUCCUUCGUCCUGCUGUCAGCGCUGUUCUACUACUCUAUGAUUAAACUGAUGGAGAUAACAAACAGGAGGAGACAGCAUUGUUACAGAUAGGAGUAAUUGACUGAAAUCAGUUGACUGAGAAAGGAUUUGACUUUGUAUGUAGUUUCUUUCUUAUCUAGUAUUAAUGUUGCUACAACAAAGGCAUUAUUAUAAACUAAAAAUAGAUUCAUCUGAUAUACAGAGUGGCUCAGUUUUGAAGGUAUGUCUGGUUAUCACCUACCGCAUUCAUAGAAGUGACACAGAGAAGGCUGCACAGACUGUAUCCAAACUGGCUUCGAAUAUCCCCAAGGAGGAAUGCUUCAGAGCUUCUCUGGACAACCUUUUCUUGUAUAUGACCAUCCUCAUUGCACAAAAGCUUCUUCCUUUAUUUCAGUGGGUUUUCUUGUAUUUCAUUUUGUUUCCAUUUCCUCUUGUCACAUCACCUGACACCACUGAGAAUAUCUGACUCCUGCUGUCAGAUAUUUAUAGUCACUACUAAGGUCAUCCUAUUGAGCCUUCUCUUUUUCCUCAUAACAUCUUUAUUUAUUUGCACAUGCUUACAAUAGAUUCCUUUCCAUAGUGUUGGAAAUGAUGUCCUUGUUCCAUGUAAUCAGUUAUGUCUAUCUCUUAACAGUAGUCUUCAGUCUUCAGAGAGGAUCUUACCGUCAGAAAAAAAAGAAAUCACUGAUUGGUAGCUCCUACUGUAUAAUUGCUUGUUGACCUGCAUGAUCCAUCUCUUCAGCUUCAUGUCCUUUCUGCUUACAACCUUUCUCCUCACAACCUUCCUACCAACAGGAUUUGUCUCUGCUGGCCACAGAAUUGGUGCCGAUGUGGAAAAGCAGGAGAGGAUCACAAAGCAACAACUGGAUGAGCCUUGGCAGCCUCAUCUUCCAUGGCACUUAAUCUCCUUUGUAGCUGCAGGUGGAGCAGGAGCAGGAGCUUACCAGAUCCCAGAGUGUACCACUGUGGAAGUCUUAGUUUCCCAAAUCAGACUUUGGAGAAGAUCACUGCAGCCAUACGAUAAGAAGAGUACUGAGACGUCUUGGAAACAACAGGAUGGCUACUGACUGACACCAGAUAACACACCAAUUAAAAAAUGUAAGCCUUUGAUAAGAUUGUGAACCUGGAGUACACAGCCGAUGGGGAAACAGGGGAGUGGGGUAGGCAAGGAGGGAAACAAGGUACAAAAGUUAUCAUUGUGUCCAUAGGUGUGCUCCUGCUUGUGGGAUGCCCACCAUUGCAAUCGUGAAUAAAAUCUGCUUUUAUCAGAGAUACCGUCCUGACAACAUUAUUUGGAUAUUUCCAACAACUUUCAUUAGGUUUUAUCAUGGAAAACUCUAGUAAGAAGCAUCUUUUGGCAUUAUUGAAAUGAAAAUCCAAGUAAUAUCCAUCAUUUCUGAGGUAAACUUUUCUAGAAAUUUCUCCUCAUGGGAGAUUUUGACAUUUUAUUUCAAUUUCUGCCAAAAGAGAAUAGCAAAGAAUCAAAUGGCCACAUAGAACAUAAAUUCCAGAGUUUCAUCACCUCUGACAUACUCUGAGCUAGAGAUUGUGGUGUUUUUCUUCUUCUGCCUACUCUAUUCAUUUCAUAUCUCUUGUCAAGUCACAUUUUAGAACUAAAAUCAAUAUUGAGCAAGCAGAUUUCAGUGUGUGCACUAAUGAGCUCUGUGUGGGAAUAGAAAGUCUGUAUCUGUAGAGCUGCUUGCCCUGAUCUUACAUUUCUGUUUGCACCUGUUAUGUUAUGAGGCCCCACUGCUGAAUGGCCCAGAAUUUGCCCGCAGCCUCUCGUGAAGGCUGACUUGCUUUCAGAAACAAGGUGAGUGUUGUUGUGAGAAACUACAGUUUAAAUGCUUUUACAUCCAAUAUAUUCAAUGUUUUCUCCUAGAACGAUUAAUUACAGUGAGUCUAUUUUCUGUUGCCCUUGACCAUGAAAUGAUCAAAAAGCUGGAGUGAACAGAACAGUGCUCCAAAGAGAUGUUGCAUUAUAUUCAGUGAACUGAUGUUUGCUAGAGAAUAUAUAUACAGAACUUAUUACUGAAGCAAAGGGCUGGAUUCAGUUUGUUCUGUUUUGUUUUGCAGACAAUAAUUUCUGAUCUGCUUUUGCAAUAGCUGUCCUCUUUCCUGGAAGUUGUAACACUUUCAUUUGAAGAUAUUUUCCCAUUUCAAGGUUCACCUUAUUAUAAAUAGUGUUUAUUUCUGCUCCAGUGUGACAGGCCCAUGAAAAUAGAGUUCAAUGUGAGGGACAUAAUAUUUAACGAUGAUCAGAUCAGCUUAAAGUUAAACCUUGGAUCUAAAUCUGAGGGUAAAGGACAACACAACUAAACACACUUUUCUCUGAUAUUUCUUUUUUUUUCCCCUUCUUAGUGUUUCUUAAAAAUGUCACUACAAUUAUUAGGUUUGGCUAUGAAGUUUGCACCUCUUGCUUCUUGCUCUAUCAAACCUUUCACAUUCUUGUGUUCUACUGCAGCCUCAAAGUAAAAAAUCACAAGUUGUUGGGAAGUUGUCUCUUCAAAUGAGUCCUCACAUGCUAGAAAAUUAGUUCUGAACAUAUUCCCAAUGCUUGGAAAUCUUUCUCCAGUUUCCCUAAGGAGGUUCUAAGAGGUUCUUUCUGGGGAUUCUUUUAUUAAACUAGCAUAAUAGGAUCUCAGUGGUCAAUGAGAACUCAAUAUCUUUAUGAAACAACCCAAGAGAAAGUAAGGGAAAUACUUUACCUUUGAGGUACCUUCCUUUACAUGCCCACAAGGCGUUGCCAUUCUCUUUUGACAGCACAUGUAGGAAACCAGAUCUAAUUGCAAUGUGAAUGCCUGAAACAACUGCCUAAAGCUAGAUUUUAUGUAUCUGUGUCACGGCUUACAAACAAUAACAAAGAAAGAGCUGGCACUUUGUUUUCUAGAGCAGGAACCAUCACAAGACUUUGUUUUCCCUAAGCUGAAGGUUCUACUUCCACUAUAAUAUGUUAGCUUUUUUUAAGCAAUGUGAUACAUCUCUGCAGCUGUUCAGGUGGUCGUAUAUCCCAGCUUCCCAGCUCCACUCAAGGUCUAGGAGCUUUCAAUGAGCUUUCCGAAGAGCAUGAGAUUUUUUAGGACUACGACAAAAUAGCCAUCUGAGGUUUCUUACAGCAUUAGAUGAUAAUGGAAUAAGUGGUAUGUAGCUUGCACGGCUGACGCUCACCCACCUACCUUUUCAACCAUCCAGGUAAUCAUCAGUACAACUUUGAGCAUGGUUGUCAGCACUUAAGGAUGGGUGACUCACAAGUGGGCUACUUACAAGUACUUCAUCUCACUAGCAGAUCUUGCAUUACCUUUAACUGUUAAGAAAGAUGUUAUUUUCAGUUGGGACUCUCAGACAAUAGCUGCAGAACUUAGGAUUUAGUGAU
Meleagris gallopavo (turkey) is the source of this 3527-nucleotide non-coding RNA. NCBI's taxonomy places the organism in Eukaryota, Metazoa, Chordata, Aves, Galliformes, Phasianidae. The record is from RefSeq and is a predicted model, not a curated record.